CCUACGGGAGGCAGCAGUAGGGAAUCUUGCGCAAUGGGCGAAAGCCUGACGCAGCCAUGCCGCGUGAAUGAUGAAGGUCUUAGGAUUGUAAAAUUCUUUCACCGGGGACGAUAAUGACGGUACCCGGAGAAGAAGCCCCGGCUAACUUCGUGCCAGCAGCCGCGGUAAUACGAAGGGGGCUAGCGUUGCUCGGAAUUACUGGGCGUAAAGGGAGCGUAGGCGGAUAGUUUAGUCAGAGGUGAAAGCCCAGGGCUCAACCUUGGAAUUGCCUUUGAUACUGGCUAUCUUGAGUAUGGGAGAGGUGAGUGGAACUCCGAGUGUAGAGGUGAAAUUCGUAGAUAUUCGGAAGAACACCAGUGGCGAAGGCGACUCACUGGCCCAUUACUGACGCUGAGGCUCGAAAGCGUGGGGAGCAAACAGGAUUAGAUACCCUGGUAGUCCACGCCGUAAACGAUGAGUGCUAGUUGUCGGCAUGCAUGCAUGUCGGUGACGCAGCUAACGCAUUAAGCACUCCGCCUGGGGAGUACGGUCGCAAGAUUAAAACUCAAAUGAAUUGACGG
This 560-nucleotide ribosomal RNA is filed under the name uncultured bacterium. Its description in RNAcentral is "bacterial SSU rRNA". It matches the Rfam family "Bacterial small subunit ribosomal RNA", at positions 338 to 916 of the family's 1533-position model. The record is from RNAcentral.